UAGAAUCAGGAACCAGGGCUGAAAUGCAGA
Molecule: non-coding RNA, 30 nt
Filed under: Homo sapiens (human)
Lineage: Eukaryota; Metazoa; Chordata; Mammalia; Primates; Hominidae
Source: RNAcentral